This is an RNA transcript of Cylas formicarius (sweet potato weevil), 2490 nucleotides long. It is a transcript of the gene named odorant receptor 49b-like, with no coding region annotated. The transcript has 7 exons. The record is from RefSeq and is a predicted model, not a curated record. NCBI's taxonomy places the organism in Eukaryota, Metazoa, Arthropoda, Insecta, Coleoptera, Brentidae.
UACGAGUGAACUACCAACAUGUGCAAAACCAUGUUAAAAGUUAACUAAUUUGUGAGGUGCACCGGUACCAAUACAUUGAAUAAGUUUUGAACGUUUUAAAUUAAUUGAGGUGAAAUAAUCUAAAUGGGCACACUUUGAAGGUAUGUUAAGAAGAACGGAGAACUCAAGAAUGUCGAGCAUCUUAAAGUUAUCAAGGUACAGCAUGGUUCUGGUUGGAAUAUGGCGAUUUCCUAUCUCAGAAAAUCAGCUAAUCCAAACUACGUACUUCACGUAUUCCAUAUUUAUGCAAAUAUUUUUUUUCCUUCUCCUAACAUCCAUGUCCAUCCAAUUUGUUACGAUGACCAAGGCUGACAAGAACGCCGGAAUAAGCCCGGAACAAUUGUUCACGACAUUUGCGUUUAUCAUAAACUGCUCCAUAAUCCAAAUUAAAGUGAUACUAUGCCAGACCAAGCGCCUAAAGGCGCUUAUUUCUUACAUUUUGGUAACUGAAAAGGAACUUUUAAGAUUGAAAGACACGGAAAUUGUACAAAACCAUAUGCAGCUAUCGCAUUUUUGUCAAAUUUCAAACCUAGCUAUAGCAUACUUUACUUUUGGAGUUGCGUUAUCAAUUAUUCUGGGUAACGCCUCGGAGAGACACCAGACGGAAAAGUACAACAGCAUAUAUAACACUACGUUAGAGAAACCAUUUCCGUACCAACUAUACUACUUUGGAACGGAUACCCAAAAGCAUACAAAGCUGUUACUGGUAGUGAAUUACUUCUGCGUAACAGUAGCCGGAUCUAUGUUUGUUUCGACCCAAGUUGUAUUUAUAUCAUGCAUAAUAUUCGCUUCUUCGAUCCUCAAGUCGCUGCAAAUCAAGUUCAGGAAAAUGAGUGCAGCCCGAACAAAUUUGUUGCAGUUCCUGAGAAAACUUAUUCUAGAACAUCAGGAUGUUAUUGCAUUUGUGGGAAAACUGAAUUAUUCAGUAAAAUAUCUGAUUUUGCUGGAGUUUCUUUUAAAUUCUGUUAAUAUGGCUUCAGUUUGCGUUCAGCUUAUCACGUCUCAGCGAAAUAUGUUCCUCGCUUUUCCAAUAUUUUACUGCGUCCUCUUCGUUACUCUAACCUUUAUGUUAGGGUGGAGUGCAAACGAGGUAAAGGUUCAGAGCCUUGAUCUAACUGAUGCCGUUUACGGAAGCCCUUGGUACGAAGAGAAUGUAAGGGUAAGAAAAAUGGUUCUUUUAAUAAUGAUGCGAACCAACAGAGCUCUGACACUAACUGUAGGACCGUUUGAUGCUAUGACUACACAGUCAGCUUUGACGAUAAUGAAAGCGUCUUAUUCUUAUAUUACUUUAGUGGCUCGAAGUUAUCAUUAGCAUAAAGAAAAUUAUACGAUUAUGGUUAUUAACUUAUGUAAGUCGUAUGAAUUAAUAUUUUCUUAAUAGAAACGUGUUAUAUGGACUAUUAGGUCCCUUCAUAACGUAAAGAAUUUUGAAAAUAAAUGUAACAAUAAUAAGAAAAGCUUUUAACAAUUGCAUUCGGGGACCAACAAAAGAUUUCCUUAAUGGGCGACCUUUUAAAUCCUUUUAGUAAGGGUGGUCCGAAAACUGAGAAUUAUUUUAAAUGUAAAUGAGCCAUCCAACAAUUUUUGCCUCGAGGCUUGCUUAAAUUCAAAUCUACCCGUCGCUAGAGAUUAUAUUAUUUUCGUAAAAUAUUUUCAAUCCUAUUUCGAACUUUUAAAUGGAUUUACCCCCAAAUCCCUUUAAUUCUCUUAUUCUGCACAAAAUCUCCGAACAUAAAUCUAAAACAAUAAGGCCCUAAUCCACUUACACUUAAGGGAAAAAUCAACAGCAAAAGUCGAGAAUUUCCAUGAGCAACCGCUUUGCCAUAUUUAUAUUGUGGAACGUUAGGGCUGUUCCAAGGGAAUCAGGAUAAAAUGCUGAAGGAUUGAUUUCACUCAAACAGCGUUCUUGGAGAUAACAGUGGCUUUUUCUUUACGCAUACUUGAAUGAAAACAAAAUUCCACGCAAAAAAAUCCGGUUUAGAGGAAUAACAACGAACUCUGUAAUUAGCAUUCUCCUACCUACCAGCUGGCGGAAAAUCCAAAACAAAAAUCGCGUGAAUGCCCCGCUCCAUAAUGGAGAAAGCUGAACUACACGCUGGAAUGGGGAUGGAUUGUAAAGUGUCCUUGUAUUACGUUGAGCUUUGAUCCGAAGCCCUUAAACGGUCUAAUAUGUUAAGUAGCUCUAGUUGGAAAGCUCUGUCGCAUUUACUGCUUCUGGUCCUGUUCGUGUUCAACUAUGGCCAGACUAAUUGAAAGCGCUAAUUAAUUCCUGAAAUAACUUUUGCAACGGCAUGUUUAAUUAUUGAAGCCGGGGACAAUUCAAAAACCCACUGCAAGCGUCGGCAAGGCAAUUCUUCGUCCUUUACAAAAUGCUGCUAUUUGAAAUGCGACAUUUCAUCACAAUUUUUGAGAUACGCCCUUACAUAUCAACACUAUGAUGGUACAUCCAGG